AGGGAUGUGACUCAGUUGGUAGAGUAUCUGCCCAACAUGCAUGAGGACCUGGGUUCGAUCCCCAGCAACGCAU
Molecule: transfer RNA, 73 nt
Filed under: Mus musculus (house mouse)
Lineage: Eukaryota; Metazoa; Chordata; Mammalia; Rodentia; Muridae
Rfam family: tRNA
About the family: Transfer RNA (tRNA) molecules are approximately 80 nucleotides in length. Their secondary structure includes four short double-helical elements and three loops (D, anti-codon, and T loops). Further hydrogen bonds mediate the characteristic L-shaped molecular structure. tRNAs have two regions of fundamental functional importance: the anti-codon, which is responsible for specific mRNA codon recognition, and the 3' end, to which the tRNAs corresponding amino acid is attached (by aminoacyl-tRNA synthetases). tRNAs cope with the degeneracy of the genetic code in two manners: having more than one tRNA (with a specific anti-codon) for a particular amino acid; and 'wobble' base-pairing, i.e. permitting non-standard base-pairing at the 3rd anti-codon position.
Source: Rfam by way of RNAcentral